Molecule: ribosomal RNA, 329 nt
Filed under: Oplodontha viridula (common green colonel fly)
Lineage: Eukaryota; Metazoa; Arthropoda; Insecta; Diptera; Stratiomyidae
Description: partial 12S ribosomal RNA
Source: RNAcentral
GAGUAGUAAUAGUUAUGGUCUUGAAACUUAAAGAAUUUGGCGGUAUUUUAGUCUAUUCAGAGGAACCUGUUCUGUAAUCGAUAAUCCACGAGGACUUUACUAUUAUUUGUUUAUUAAUUUGUAUACCGCCGUUAUAAAUUAUUUUAUUAGAAAAAAAAUUUUUUAAAAUUUUUAAAAAUAUAUCAGGUCAAGGUGCAGUUUAUAUAUUAGGAAGAAAUGGGUUACAAUAAAAUUAUUUAAAUGGAUUAAAAAAUGAAAUUUUUUUAUGAAGGUGGAUUUGAUAGUAAAAUUAUAUAUUUAGUUAAUUUGAUUUUAGCUCUAAAAUAUGC